UACGGGGGGGGCAAGCGUUGUUCGGAAUUACUGGGCGUAAAGGGUUCGUAGGUGGCUUGCUAAGUCAGACGUGAAAUCUCUCAGCUUAACUGGGGAACUGCGUCUGAGACUGGUGAGCUUGAGUGCAGGAGAGGAACGCGGAAUUCCAGGUGUAGCGGUGAAAUGCGUAGAUAUCUGGAGGAACACCGGUGGCGAAGGCGGCGUUCUGGACUGCUACUGACACUGAGGAACGAAAGCCAGGGGAGCAAACGGG
RNAcentral lists this ribosomal RNA (253 nucleotides) under uncultured bacterium. RNAcentral describes it as "partial 16S ribosomal RNA". It matches the Rfam family "Bacterial small subunit ribosomal RNA", at positions 524 to 776 of the family's 1533-position model. The record is from RNAcentral.